GAUGAACGCUGGCGGCGUGCCUUACACAUGCAAGUCGAGCGAACACACGCGAAGCUUUCUUUUCUGAUGUUAGCCGCGGACGUAUGAGUAACACAUGGACCCCCUACCUAUAGGUCACGGAUCGCAUCCGGUAACCAGAGCUAAUACCGGCUAAUAUUUAGAACCGCAUGCUUCACAAGUGAAAGACGCUUUUGCUGUCUCUUACAGCUGGAUCCGCGUUGCAUUAGCUAGUUGGUAAGGUAAAGGCUUACCAAGGCGACGAUGCGUAGCUGACCUGAGAGGGUGACCAGCCACACUGGAACUGAGACACGGUCCAGACUCCUACGGGAGGCAGCAGUAGGGAAUCUUGCACAAUGGGCGAAAGCCUGACGGAGCAACGCCGCGUGAGGGAUGAAGGUCUUCGGGUCGUAAAACGCUUUUGUCAGGAAAGAAAAGGUGUGCACGAAACUCGGCCGAUAAUGACGGUACCUGAAGAGAAAGCACCGGCUAACUACGUG
Molecule: ribosomal RNA, 497 nt
Filed under: uncultured bacterium
Lineage: Bacteria
Description: partial 16S ribosomal RNA
Rfam family: Bacterial small subunit ribosomal RNA
Source: RNAcentral